Molecule: long non-coding RNA, 630 nt
Filed under: Rattus norvegicus (Norway rat)
Lineage: Eukaryota; Metazoa; Chordata; Mammalia; Rodentia; Muridae
Description: long non-coding RNA NONRATT013010
Source: RNAcentral
GAUUUUUUUUUUAGCCUCAUUUAGACCAAACUGGCAACUGGCCCUGGACUAGCCCUAAAGAUGGAGGCCUGGGGGAUGUGCGAUAUAGAUAUUGCUUAACUACUCUCACCGUACCCCAGAGGUGUCUUGGAUUUGCACGAAGACGGGUCGGGCGCGGUGGAAGGGUCUUGCUGGACAGAGCGCAUUCAGACUAUGACAGUAUGUUUCACCACCUGGAUCUGGACAUGCUUUCCUCACCACAACCUUCUCCAGUCAAUCAGUUUGCCAAUACCUCAGAAACCAAUACCUCGGACAGACCUUCCUCUAAAGACCUCAGUCAGAUACUAGUCGAUAUCAAAUCAUGUAGAUGGCGGCACUUUAGGCCCCGGACACCAUCCCUUCCUGACAGUGACAGUGGUGAGCUCUCCAGUAGAAAGUUACACAGAAGUAUAAGUCGAGCAGGACCAGCGCAGCCUGGGGCCCACACGUGCAGCGCCUCCACACAGAGCAGAAGUAGCAGUGGCUCGACACACUGUGCAUUUACAGCCGAGCAGUACCAGCAGCACCAGCAGCAACUGGCACUCAUGCAGCAGCAGCAGCUUGCACAAACUCAGCAGCAGCAAGCAAAUAGCAGUUCCUCCACCGCCGCUC